UUUGUGAGGAAAGUAAUCUCGUAACAAGGUCUCCGUAGGUGAACCUGCGGAGGGAUCAUUACACAAAUAUGAAGGCGGGCUGGAAUCUCUCGGGGUUACAGCCUUGCUGAAUUAUUCACCCUUGUCUUUUGCGUACUUCUUGUUUCCUUGGUGGGUUCGCCCACCACUAGGACAAACAUAAACCUUUUGUAAUUGCAAUCAGCGUCAGUAACAAAUUAAUAAUUACAACUUUCAACAACGGAUCUCUUGGUUCUGGCAUCGAUGAAGAACGCAGCGAAAUGCGAUAAGUAGUGUGAAUUGCAGAAUUCAGUGAAUCAUCGAAUCUUUGAACGCACAUUGCGCCCUUUGGUAUUCCAAAGGGCAUGCCUGUUCGAGCGUCAUUUGUACCCUCAAGCUUUGCUUGGUGUUGGGCGUCUUGUCUCUAGCUUUGCUGGAGACUCGCCUUAAAGUAAUUGGCAGCCGGCCUACUGGUUUCGGAGCGCAGCACAAGUCGCACUCUCUAUCAGCAAAGGUCUAGCAUCCAUUAAGCCUUUUUUCAACUUUUGACCUCGGAUCAGGUAGGGAACCCCCAACC
RNAcentral lists this ribosomal RNA (574 nucleotides) under Alternaria sp. TD10. Its description in RNAcentral is "eukaryotic LSU rRNA". The stretch from base 227 to 380 matches the Rfam family "5.8S ribosomal RNA". Lineage: Eukaryota; Fungi; Ascomycota; Dothideomycetes; Pleosporales; Pleosporaceae. The record is from RNAcentral.